UGCUAAGGACCGCGGUUGCCAUGGAGACGGGAGGGGAGGCCGCGUCUGGCGGAGCGCAGCCCCUCUCGGAGGAUGCGGGGCGGUCGAUGGCGAUUUGCACUGCAGAGGGAGGCGUACAGCCCUCCCGCCGCCUGGGAGGGCAGUCGAUGGCCGCUUCAUUCCGGCGUUGUCCUCCAGGAAAGAGGAGCUCGUGACACUCACAGAGAAGAGAAGCACUAAUGAAUGGUGCAGCCAACCCCAGCCGUGCCGUUGCCUUCAGCUGGGACCCACAAUUGCACGGAUUUCUGACCGGGAUGAAAUGAAUUCUUAAUAGCAGCAUCUGCCGCAGGAAAAGUCCAGAGAGUUUCCCAUCUGCAGAGCAAGAAGUGUCCUAGGGUGCAUCAGGAAGAGCAGCAGGCCAAGGGAGGUGAUCCUGCCCCUCUAUUCAGCCCUGGUGAGUGCUGUGUCCCCUUCUGGGCUCCUCAGCACAAGAAAAACAAGGAGCUACUGGAGAGGAUCCAGAAGAGGCCACAAAGAUGAUCUAGGGUCUGGAGCAUCUCUCCUCUGAGGAGAGACUGCAGGACCUGGGCCUGUUCAGUCUGGAGAAAAGACUGAGAGGGGAUCUCAUUAAUGCAAUAUAUUAAUUCAAAAUCAAAUU
This is a long non-coding RNA of Cyanistes caeruleus (blue tit), 637 nucleotides long. RefSeq lists it as uncharacterized. The record is from RefSeq and is a predicted model, not a curated record. Lineage: Eukaryota; Metazoa; Chordata; Aves; Passeriformes; Paridae.